Molecule: ribosomal RNA, 477 nt
Filed under: uncultured bacterium
Lineage: Bacteria
Description: partial 16S ribosomal RNA
Rfam family: Bacterial small subunit ribosomal RNA
Source: RNAcentral
GAUGAACGCUGGCGGCGUGCUUAACACAUGCCAGUCGAACGAGAAAUGUAGACGGAAACCUUCGGGCGGAAGCCUUCAUUUCGAGUGGCGGACGGGUGAGUAACGCGUGGGUAACCUGCCUCAUACAGGGGGAUAACAGUUGGAAACGACUGUUAAUACCGCAUAAGACCACAGCAUCGCAUGAUGCGGGGGUAAAAACUCCGGUGGUAUGAGAUGGACCCGCGUUCGAUUAGCCAGUUGGCGGGGUAACGGCCCACCAAAGCGACGAUCGAUAGCCGAUCUGAGAGGAGGCCCGGCCACAUUGGAACUGAGCCACGCCCCAAACUCCCACGGGGGGCAGCAUGGGGGAAUAUGGACAAAUGGGGGAAACCCUGAUGCAGCGACGCCGGGGGAGUGAAGAAGUACUUGGGUAUGUAAAGCUCUAUCAGCAGGGAAAAAAAUGACGGUACCGGGGAAAGAAGCCCCGGCUAACUACGU